AAGGUUGAGCAUUUCUGCUUCUCCCGGCUGCUUCACUGUCACCAGACAGCCCAUUUUUUCUUAUGAUAAAGACGGCAUUUGGCUCAUGAGCAAGGUGGCAAAAUCAUCAAGUGAGUCAGACGUGCAGCUCUGGGAAACAGAAGAGGAUGACAUGACAGAAGGUGAUUUAGGGUAUGGCCUCGGAAGGAAACCUGGUGGGAUUUAUGAAAUAGAAUUUUCACAUAGGUCUAGAAAAAGAUCAGAUGGAAAGAACUUUAGCCCUCCUCCAUUUCCGAGAAAGGGAGAAGAAAGAAAUGAAGCGAGUUUUCAGUAUUCCAAGCAUAAGAGCCAGCAAGAGACAUUCCCUCAAGUGUCCAGAAUUUCUAAUUACAGACGACAAAGUAGCACUGGAGGUAGAAAUGUUAAAAACUGAACUUGAGGCAUCUCAAAGACAACUCAGAGGUAAAGAGGAAGCAUUGAAAAUUCUUCAAAGCAUGGUAAGAAGUUGUUUUUAAACUUUCACCAUUUACACAUUCCAAUAAUAAUGUUGGUAUGGUUUUAACUUUUAAAACCAAGGCAGAAGGACUUAAUAUAGUUGAGGGUUUUUUUAGGUAUGUAUAUUUUUAAGAGCUUUAUAAUUUAUAUAUCAUGAAGUUCACAUGUAAAUGUGCACUACAAUUCAUUUUUACUAGAUAUAAGCGUUGUACCACCAUCACUAUAAUCUAAUUUUAGAACAUUUCCAACACCAGAAAAGGGACUUGGUGCCCAUCAGCAGUCAUUCCUCAUUCCCACCCCUAUCCCCAGUAAUCUAUUUUCUGUUUGUAGAUUUGCCUUUUCUAUUUAAUAUAAAUAGAAUAAUAAGAUAUGUGACUGGAUUCUUUUGCAUUGAGAUUCUUUAAGUUAGCAUGUUUUAGAGGUUCAUACAUGUCCUAGCAUGUAUCAGUACUUUCUUCCUUUUUAUUGCCAAGUAAUACUCCAUUGUGUAGAUGCACCAUGUUUUGCUUAUGCAUUCACCAGUUGAUGGACAUUUGGGUGGUGUAUUAGUCCAUUUUUAUGCUGCUGAUAAAGACAUACCCAAGACUGGGGGAAAAAAAGAGGUUUAAUUGGACUUACAGUUCCACAUGGCUAUGAAGGCCUCAGAAUCAUGGUGGGAGGUGAAAGGCAGUUCCUACGUGGCAGCAGCAAGAGAAAAUGAGGAAGAUUCAAAAGUGGAAACCUCUGAUAAAACCAUCAGAUCUCAUGAAACUUAUUCACAUACCAGAACAGUAUGGGGGAAACCACCCCCAUGAUCCAAAUUAUCUCCCACUGGGUCCCUCUCACAACACGUGGGAAUUAUGGGAAUACAAUUCAAGAUGAGAUUUGGGUGAGGACACAGAGCCAAACCAUAUCAUUCCACUCCGGCCCCUCCAAAUCUCAUGUCCUCACAUUUCAAAACCAAUCAUGCCUUCCCAACAGUCCCCCAAAGUCUGAAAUCAUUUCAGCAUUAACCCAAAAAUCCACAGUCCAAAGUCUCAUCUGAGACAAGGCAAGUCCCUUCUGCCUAUGAGCUGGUAAAAUCAAAAGCAAGCUAGUUACUUCCUACAUACAAUGGGGAUGUAGGUAUAUAGCCAUUCCAAAUGGGAGAAAUUGGCCAAAACAAAGGGGUUACUGGGCUCAUGCAAAUCCAAAAUCCAGCAGGGCAGUCAAAUUUUAAAGCUCCAAAAUGAUCUCCUUUGACUCCAGGUCUCACAUCCAGGUCAUACUGAUGCAAGAGGUGGGUUCCCAUGGCCUUGGGCAGCUCCACCCCUGUGGCUUUGCAGAGUGCAGCCUCCCUCCUGGCUGCUUUCACAGGCUGGCAUUGAGUGUCUGCAGCUUUCCCAGGUGCACAGUGUAAGCCAUGGGUGGAUCUACCAUUCUGGGGUCUGGAGGAUGGUGGCCCUCUUCUCAUAACUCCACUAGGCAGUGCUGUAGUAGGGACUCUGUGUGGGGGCUCCAACCCCACAUUUCCCUUCUGCAGUGCCCUAGCAGCAGUUCUCCAUGAGAGCCCCAUCCCUGCAGGAAACUUCUGCCUGGACAUCCAGGCAUUGCCAUACAUCUUCUGAAAUCUAGUGGAGGUUCCCAAACCCCGAUUCUUUACUUCUGUGCACCCGCAGGCUCAACAUCACGUGGAAGCUGCCAAGGCUUGGGGCUUGCACCCUCUAUAUUCACAGACGGAGCUGUACCUUGGCCCCUUUCAGCCACCGCUGGAGUGGCUGGGACGCAGGCCACCAAGUCCUUAGACUGCACACAGCACGGGGACCCUGGGCCCUGCCCACGAAACCAUUUUUUCCUCCGAGACUUCUGGCUCUGUGAUGAGAGAGGCUGCUGCAAAGGUCUCUGACAUGCCCUGGAGACAUUUUCCCCAUUAUCUUGGGGAUUAACAUUUGGCUCCUCAUUACUUAUGCAAAUAUCUGCAGCUAGCUUGAAUUUAUCCUUAGAAAAUGGGAUUUUCUUUUCUAUUGCAUUGUCAGGCUGCAAAUUUUCUGAACUUUUACGCUGUGCUUCCCUUUUAAAAUGGAAUGCCUUUAACAGUACCCAAGCCAUCUCUUGAAUGCUUUGCUGCUUAGAAAUUUCUUCCACCAGAUACUCUAAAUCAUCUCUCUCAAGUUCAAAGUUCCACAGAUCUCUAGGGCAGGGGCAAAAUGCCACAAAUCUCUUUGCUAAAACAUAACAAGAGUCACCUUUACUCUAGUUCCCAACAAGUUCCUCAUCUCCAUCUGAGACCGCCUCAGCCUGGAUUUCAUUGUCCAUAUCAUUAUCAGUGUUUUUGUGAAAGACACUCAACAAGUCUCUAGAAAGUUCCAAUCUUUCCCACAUUUUCCUGUCUUCUUCUGAGCCCUCCAAACUGUCCCAAUCUCUGCCUGUUACCCAGUUUCAAAGUAGCUUCCACAUUUUUGGGUAUCUUUUCAGCAAUGCCCCACUCUACUGGUACCAAAUUACUGUAUUAGUCCAUUUUUAUGCUCCUGAUAAAGACAUACCCAAGACUGGGAAGAAAAAGAGGUUUAAUUGGACUUACAGUUCCACAUGGCUGGGGAGGUCUCAGAAUCAUGGUGGGAGGCGAAAGGCACUUAUAACAUGGCAGCAGCAAGAGAAAAUGAGAGAGAUGCAAAAGCAGAACCCCUGAUAAAAUCAACAGAUCUCAUGAGACUUAUUCACUACCAUGAGAACAGUAUGGGGAAAACCACCCCCAUGAUUCAAAUUAUCUCCCACCGGGUCCUCUCACAACAUGUGGUAAUUAUGAGAGUACAAUUCAAAAUGAGAUUUGGGUGGGGACACAGAGCCAAACCGUAUCAGAUGGUUUCCACUUUUUGACUGAUGAAUAGUACUGUUCUGAACACUUUCUUUGUGUGGAAAAUUCAUCCAUUAAUUCCCACAUUCAUUGGAAAAGAGCCAAACCAAGAUCUCCUGACUUUUGAACUAUCAGACUCUCCAUAAAAGGUGGUCACUGUGAAAUUCUUAUGUCAAUUCAUCUUAAUUUUCCAUUGCCUUAAAAUAAAAGAGAACUUCAUGAUGUACAUAGGAGUGAUUACAAAUUUAAUUUAUACUGAUGCUAGUUUUAUUUUUCUUAGGCAAUACUGGGCAAAGCCACAAGUCAUACGCAGGCAGUGCUUCAAAAAACUAUGGAACAAAACAGAUCCUUGGAGAAGGUAUUUGGUGCUUUUAGUGUAGACUUAUUGAAUCCAAUAAGCUGUUAAAUAUAAUUUCCCUAAACUCACCAUACUAAUGGAUCUGUCAUUUGUGCCUACCUUCUGCUAGGUGUGCUUCAGUUCUGAUGGUCUUCCCUUUUGGAGUUUACAAUCUAAAACAGAUUGUCAUGUGCACAAUGAAUUCAGGUUAUUUUUAUUUCCCCAUGUUAAGGUAGUAGGAGGCCUGCCAAAUUGGUACUUCUCAUUUCUUCUUCUUUUUUUUUUUUUUGAGACGGAGUCCUG
This 3926-nucleotide small RNA is filed under the name Pan troglodytes (chimpanzee). RNAcentral describes it as "retained intron". Lineage: Eukaryota; Metazoa; Chordata; Mammalia; Primates; Hominidae. The record is from RNAcentral.